RNAcentral lists this ribosomal RNA (775 nucleotides) under Dryocoetiops petioli. RNAcentral describes it as "eukaryotic LSU rRNA". It matches the Rfam family "Eukaryotic large subunit ribosomal RNA", at positions 406 to 944 of the family's 3401-position model. Lineage: Eukaryota; Metazoa; Arthropoda; Insecta; Coleoptera; Curculionidae. The record is from RNAcentral.
CGUUUAGGGGUAAACCUGAGAAACCCGAAAGGUCGAAGGGAGAAAUUCAUUCGCGUCUCGCGACGAGCUUCGAACGGUCGAGUGACGGGAGGCGUUCGCGUCUUCCGCGCCCCCCGCUCGUUGGACCCGUCGCGAACGCGUGCACUUUUCUCCUGGUAGGACGUCGCGAUCCGUCGAGUGUCGGUCUACGGUUUCGGGUGGAGUCCGUAGAUUUUCCCUUGCGGAAAACCUACGGACCCCGGACGCCCGGCCGACUCGCUCGACGGUAUAUGAAAGGUUCGAGGCCGCUCUCAGGAGCGUCCGGCUCGUGGCAAGCACGCCAGCUGCGUCGGCGAUCGGACCCAGUGCCGAUUCUGACCUCUGGCGACUGUUGGCCGCGUCGUCCUCGGACAGACCUCGUAACCGAUCGGCGACGCUACAGAUUUGGGUACUUUCAGGACCCGUCUUGAAACACGGACCAAGGAGUCUAGCAUGUGCGCGAGUCAUUGGGAAUCACUAAACCUAAAGGCGUAAUGAAAGUGAAGGUCUUCCUCGCGAAGACCGAGGGAAGAAGGGCGGUCCGCCGUUAAAAGCGGCCGCUCCGCAUUCCCGGGGCGUCUCGUUCUCAUUGCGAGGAGAGGCGCACCAAGAGCGUACACGCUGGGACCCGAAAGAUGGUGAACUAUGCCUGGUCAGGACGAAGUCAGGGGAAACCCUGAUGGAGGUCCGUAGCGAUUCUGACGUGCAAAUCGAUCGUCGGAACUGGGUAUAGGGGCGAAAGACUAAUCGAACCAUC